GGCUGAGUAGCUCAAAGUAGAGCAUAGUAAUGUCUGUGUUCGAUCCACAGCUCAGCCACCA
This 61-nucleotide transfer RNA is filed under the name Neurospora crassa OR74A. Its description in RNAcentral is "tRNA E-site from Neurospora crassa OR74A (PDB 6YWX, chain bb)". The record is from RNAcentral. Lineage: Eukaryota; Fungi; Ascomycota; Sordariomycetes; Sordariales; Sordariaceae.